RNAcentral lists this ribosomal RNA (410 nucleotides) under uncultured bacterium. RNAcentral describes it as "bacterial SSU rRNA". It matches the Rfam family "Bacterial small subunit ribosomal RNA", at positions 356 to 773 of the family's 1533-position model. The record is from RNAcentral.
AGGGAAUAUUGCGCAAUGGACGGAAGUCUGACGCAGCGACGCCGCGUGAGCGAUGAAGACCUUCGGGUCGUAAAGCUCUGUCCUUGGGGAAGAAGGUCUUCGGACUUGACGGUACCCAAGAAGAAAGCCCCGGCUAACUACGUGCCAGCAGCCGCGGUAAUACGUAGGGGGCGAGCGUUGUCCGGAAUUACUGGGCGUAAAGGGUGCGUAGGCGGCCCUUUAAGUCAGAUGUGAAAGGCCACGGCUUAACCGUGGGAUUGCACUUGAAACUGGAGGGCUUGAGUGUCGGAGAGGGUAGUGGAAUUCCCAGUGUAGCGGUGAAAUGCGUAGAUAUUGGGAGGAACACCAGUGGCGAAGGCGACUACCUGGACGAUAACUGACGCUGAGGCACGAAAGCUAGGGGAGCAAAC